CCUACUGUGUACUGCCGUUUUGACUAUUUUUCCAUUUAGUAAACUCUGCCCCCGCCCCGCCGCGUGAAGGAUGAAGGUUUUCGGAUUGUAAACUUCUGUCGCGAGGGAUGAAGAAUGACGGUACCUCGUAAGAAAGCCCCGGCAAACUACGUGCCAGCAGCCGCGGUAAUACGUAGGGGGCGAGCGUUGUCCGGAAUGACUGGGCGUAAAGGGAGUGUAGGCGGCAUAUUAAGUUAUGUGUGAAAGCCCGCGGCUCAACCGCGGAAUUGCACAUAAAACUGGUAAGCUGGAGUGCAGGAGAGGUAAGUGGAAUUCCCGGUGUAGCGGUGGAAUGCGUAGAUAUCGGGAGGAACACCAGAGGCGAAGGCGACUUACUGGACUGUAACUGACGCUGAGGCUCGAAAGCGUGGGGAGCAAACAGGAUUAGAUACCCUUGUAGUC
This 441-nucleotide ribosomal RNA is filed under the name uncultured bacterium. RNAcentral describes it as "partial 16S ribosomal RNA". It matches the Rfam family "Bacterial small subunit ribosomal RNA", at positions 338 to 795 of the family's 1533-position model. The record is from RNAcentral.